RNAcentral lists this ribosomal RNA (253 nucleotides) under uncultured bacterium. RNAcentral's name for it is "partial 16S ribosomal RNA". It matches the Rfam family "Bacterial small subunit ribosomal RNA", at positions 524 to 776 of the family's 1533-position model. The record is from RNAcentral.
UACGAAGGGGGCUAGCGUUGCUCGGAAUUACUGGGCGUAAAGCGCACGUAGGCGGAUUGUUAAGUCGGGGGGGAAAUCCUGGAGCUCAACUCCAGAACUGCCUUCGAUACUGGCGAUCUCGAGUUCGGGAGAGGUGAGUGGAACUGCGAGUGUAGAGGUGAAAUUCGUAGAUAUUCGCAAGAACACCAGUGGCGAAGGCGGCUCACUGGCCCGAUACUGACGCUGAGGUGCGAAAGCGUGGGGAGCAAACAGG